Dama dama (fallow deer) is the source of this 1397-nucleotide long non-coding RNA. RefSeq lists it as uncharacterized. Lineage: Eukaryota; Metazoa; Chordata; Mammalia; Artiodactyla; Cervidae. The transcript has 5 exons. The record is from RefSeq and is a predicted model, not a curated record.
CAAGACAGGACCAAGAGAAGCUGGUAGCAACAGGAUCUGAACAAAUGAAAAAUGCAAGAACGGAAGCCAGCAGCAGCUGAACAUCACCUCUGAUACCUGUGAGAUGGUCUGCCUCUGAAGGUGACAUUGUCCAGGACUCAGGGCUUGUCAUUUGUUUCUGGGACACGAAAAAAUGGGAAAUACAACAGCUCCAAUCUCCUGUGUUGCAAAGGAAGGCAGCUGUCAUGUAACCAGGAAACAAAACACGGUAUCUUCAUCAUCUUUAAUCCUGAGGCUGAAAAUCGAGAACUGGUUGUGGAUUUGGCAUGUGGGGCUCAGGUACAGUCCAGCGUGAGACAUAUACUUACCUGUUCAGCACAAGAUUACUUUGAAUAAGAAGCUUAAAUGAUAACAUGAUGUGAAGAUGAAGCAUGGAUUUAUCAAUCCCUACUGCACCAAAAAUCUCUUCGUGAUAAACUUUUCCUGCAUAUAUGUCUGUUUUGUCUAAUGGAAAGUAGCUGAGGUGUGUAAUCAAGCUGAUUUGGGGGAAUCUUUAUAAUUAUCAGGAAAACUCAGGAACUAUCUGUUAAUGUGAAUUUUCUGGCAAUGUGAACUGUGGGAGUAAGAAAACAUCUAUUUUGAUUUAUUUGACUUUGGCUCCAGUUUCAUGGGAUUUGGGUUUCCUGUGAUUGGGUCUAAAUAAGGAGAAUCAUAUGAGAAAAUGAAAGAUCAGAAAGCAGGACUCAGAGCCUUGUUGAACAGGAGACUGAAGCUACAAAAUGUCUCAGGCAGAAGAGCAAUUCAUUAAUUACCAGUGGAAAGAAAAGUUGAAUCCAGGAUACAGUGUUUUUCUUGAAGAGGUGAGAAGGCCUUGGCAGUUAGAGUAGCAGAACUGAAAAGAAACACGUACAUCUAUUUACUUUGUUACCAGUACAUUGGUUUCAUAAGACAUUUUUGCUUUCUUUACCAUAGUUUCUCUACUGUAAAAUGAAAAAGACAUUUAUGGGAUUUAACUUUGAAAGCUUAAUUCUAAAAAUCAUAUUUUAAAAAUAUCAGUUAUGGAAAUCAAUUCAUUCAUAAUAUACAUUGGGCAGCUGUGAUGUACACAAUAUCGUAUUUGUUUUUAUAAAGCGCCAAAGCAGUGUAACCCUCCUGCUUUGCUCUGAAUGUGUCCCCCAGAAUUCAUAUUGACAUUCUAACUCCCAAGGUGAUGAUGGUAUUUGCAGGUGGGGGUUUGGGAGGUGGUUAAAUCUGGAGGACAGAACUCUCACAAAUGGGACUAGAGCCCUUAUACAAGAAGCUCCUCAGAGUUCCCUUGCCCCUUUCCAUCCUGUGAGAGAACAAGAAGUCUGCAGCCUGCAACCUGGAAAGCUUUCCCUAGAACCGACCAUGCUGGUAUCCUCAUCUUGAACUUGCAG